GCCCUGGUAGUUUAGCCCGGUUAGAAUGUGAGGCUGUCACCCUUGAGACCCGGGUUCAAAUCCCGGCCAGGGCG
This 74-nucleotide transfer RNA is filed under the name Thermoproteota archaeon. RNAcentral describes it as "tRNA-Asp". It matches the Rfam family "tRNA". Rfam says of the family: Transfer RNA (tRNA) molecules are approximately 80 nucleotides in length. Their secondary structure includes four short double-helical elements and three loops (D, anti-codon, and T loops). Lineage: Archaea; Thermoproteati; Thermoproteota. The record is from RNAcentral.